Molecule: ribosomal RNA, 253 nt
Filed under: uncultured bacterium
Lineage: Bacteria
Description: partial 16S ribosomal RNA
Rfam family: Bacterial small subunit ribosomal RNA
Source: RNAcentral
UACGUAGGGAGCAAGCGUUGUCCGGAAUCAUUGGGCGUAAAGCGCGCGUAGGCGGUUCGUCACGUCGGGAGUGAAAACUCGGAGCUUAACUCCGAGCCUGCUUCCGAUACGGGCAGACUAGAGGUAGGCAGGGGAGAGCGGAACUCCUGGUGUAGCGGUGGAAUGCGCAGAUAUCAGGAAGAACACCGGUGGCGAAGGCGGCUCUCUGGGCCUUACCUGACGCUGAGGAGCGAAAGCGUGGGUAGCGAACAGG